RNAcentral lists this ribosomal RNA (361 nucleotides) under uncultured bacterium. RNAcentral's name for it is "partial 16S ribosomal RNA". It matches the Rfam family "Bacterial small subunit ribosomal RNA", at positions 338 to 696 of the family's 1533-position model. The record is from RNAcentral.
CCUACGGGAGGCUGCAGUGAGGAAUAUUGGUCAAUGGGCGCGAGCCUGAACCAGCCAAGUCGCGUGAGGGAUGAAGGUUCUAUGGAUCGUAAACCUCUUUUAUCAGGGAGUAAAGUGUGGGACGGGUCCUAUUUUGUAUGUACCUUAUGAAGAAGGAUCGGCUAACUCCGUGACAGCAGCCGCGGUAAUACGGAGGAUCCGAGCGUGAUCCUGAUUUAUUGGGUUUAAAGGGUGAGUAGGCGGCCUUUUAAGUCAGCGGUGAAAGUUUGUGGCUUAAUCAUAGAAUGGCCUUUGAGACUGGGGGGCUUGAGUAUGUUGGCGGCAGGCGGAAUGCGUGGUGUAGCGGUGAAAUGCUUAGAUA